RNAcentral lists this ribosomal RNA (459 nucleotides) under uncultured organism. RNAcentral's name for it is "partial 16S ribosomal RNA". It matches the Rfam family "Bacterial small subunit ribosomal RNA", at positions 330 to 797 of the family's 1533-position model. The record is from RNAcentral.
CGUACACUCCUACGGGAGGCAGCAGUGGGGAAUAUUGCACAAUGGGCGCAAGCCUGAUGCAGCGACGCCGCGUGGGGGAUGAAGGCCUUCGGGUUGUAAACUCCUUUCGCUAGGGACGAAGCUUUUUUGUGACGGUACCUAGAUAAGAAGCACCGGCUAACUACGUGCCAGCAGCCGCGGUAAUACGUAGGGUGCGAGCGUUGUCCGGAAUUACUGGGCGUAAAGGGCUCGUAGGUGGUUUGUCGCGUCGUCUGUGAAAUUCUGGGGCUUAACUCCGGGCGUGCAGGCGAUACGGGCAUAACUUGAGUGCUGUAGGGGUAACUGGAAUUCCUGGUGUAGCGGUGAAAUGCGCAGAUAUCAGUAGGAACACCGAUGGCGAAGGCAGGUUACUGGGCAGUUACUGACGCUGAGGAGCGAAAGCAUGGGUAGCGAACAGGAUUAGAAACCCUGGUAGUCCCA